Molecule: long non-coding RNA, 385 nt
Organism: Suricata suricatta (meerkat)
Lineage: Eukaryota; Metazoa; Chordata; Mammalia; Carnivora; Herpestidae
Exons: 2
Source: RefSeq, a predicted model, not a curated record
AGAUGCCAUCACUGGAGAGAGUGCAAUUUACCUUUUGUAUUAAACUAAGAGGUCCCAAAAGAAUUUCCCUUGACCCAGAGUUUCCAUGAACAAAGACUAAAAGCUUUUUAAAGCAACCUCUGCUGCACGUUUCUAUUUUAAUUUGCGAAAAGUAUGCCAGAGUACAGCAAAGACUUUUCACUGAAGAAGCUGGGCUAAUGGAACCUAGGAAAGCAUCAACUCCUUGUGAAACAGUCGUAAGAUGCAUGUAAGCAACCACUCUGCUUUCUAUUAGCUGGGAAGUGCUGAGAAGACACAUGAUUUACUUAUUUGCCUUGAUAUUAAGGUCUCAAUAUAAAAGUAACCUGGCUAAGAAACAGUUACCUACAAUAAACCUUAAAUCUCU